AGAGACCUCCUUGGAUAGCUGUGGGAUGCCUGCAAAGAACAGUGCAAGGCAACACAGCAGAAUUCUGUUUGCCUCAAGUAACCUGAGGUGAUCGAGCUCUUGGUGAGUGUACCAUUAAGAGUCAUUGUCUAAUUUAUCCAGCCCUGAAGUCUGCA
This 155-nucleotide long non-coding RNA is filed under the name Numida meleagris (helmeted guineafowl). RNAcentral's name for it is "lncRNA (ENSNMEG00000014910.1)". Lineage: Eukaryota; Metazoa; Chordata; Aves; Galliformes; Numididae. The record is from RNAcentral.